UAUCAAUAAGCGGAGGAAAAGAAACCAACAGGGAUUGCCCCAGUAACGGCGAGUGAAGCGGCAACAGCUCAAAUUUGAAAUCUGGCUCUCGGGCCCGAGUUGUAAUUUGUAGAGGAUGCUUUUGGUGAGGUGCCUUCCGAGUUCCCUGGAACGGGACGCCAUAGAGGGUGAGAGCCCCGUCUGGUUGGACACCGAUCCUCUGUAAAGCUCCUUCGACGAGUCGAGUAGUUUGGGAAUGCUGCUCUAAAUGGGAGGUAUAUGUCUUCUAAAGCUAAAUACCGGCCAGAGACCGAUAGCGCACAAGUAGAGUGAUCGAAAGAUGAAAAGAACUUUGAAAAGAGAGUUAAACAGUACGUGAAAUUGUUGAAAGGGAAGCGCUUGUGACCAGACUUGGGCUUGGUUGAUCAUCCGGGGUUCUCCCCGGUGCACUCUUCCGGCCCAGGCCAGCAUCAGUUCGCCCUGGGGGACAAAGGCUUCGGGAAUGUGGCUCUCUCCGGGGAGUGUUAUAGCCCGUUGCGUAAUACCCUGUGGCGGACUGAGGUUCGCGCAUUCGCAAGGAUGCUGGCGUAAUGGUCAUCAGUG
RNAcentral lists this ribosomal RNA (582 nucleotides) under [Neocosmospora] rubicola. RNAcentral describes it as "partial large subunit ribosomal RNA". It matches the Rfam family "Eukaryotic large subunit ribosomal RNA", at positions 41 to 646 of the family's 3401-position model. The record is from RNAcentral. Lineage: Eukaryota; Fungi; Ascomycota; Sordariomycetes; Hypocreales; Nectriaceae.